RNAcentral lists this ribosomal RNA (253 nucleotides) under uncultured bacterium. Its description in RNAcentral is "partial 16S ribosomal RNA". It matches the Rfam family "Bacterial small subunit ribosomal RNA", at positions 524 to 776 of the family's 1533-position model. The record is from RNAcentral.
GACAGAGGGGGCAAGCGUUGCUCGGAAUUACUGGGCGUAAAGGGCGCGUAGGCGGGAUGGCAAGUCGGUCGUGAAAUCCCUCGGCUCAACCGAGGAACGUCGAUCGAUACUGCUGUUCUUGAGGAUUGCAGAGGAGACUGGAAUUCCCGGUGUAGCGGUGAAAAUGUGUAGAGAUCGGGAGGAACACCGGUGGCGAAGGCGGGUCUCUGGGCAAUUCCUGACGCUGAGGCGCGAAGCGUGGGGAGCAAACGGG